This 468-nucleotide ribosomal RNA is filed under the name uncultured bacterium. Its description in RNAcentral is "partial 16S ribosomal RNA". It matches the Rfam family "Bacterial small subunit ribosomal RNA", at positions 28 to 507 of the family's 1533-position model. The record is from RNAcentral.
GACGAACGCUGGCGGCGUGCUUAACACAUGCAAGUCGAACGGAAAGGCCCUGCUUUUGUGGGGUGCUUGAGUGGCGAACGGGUGAGUAACACGUGAGUAACCUGCCCUUGACUUUGGGAUAACUUCAGGAAACUGGGGCUAAUACCGGAUAGGAGCUCCUGCUGCAUGGUGGGGGUUGGAAAGUUUCGGCGGUUGGGGAUGGACUCGCGGCUUAUCAGCUUGUUGGUGGGGUAGUGGCUUACCAAGGCUUUGACGGGUAGCCGGCCUGCGAGGGUGACCGGCCACAUUGGGACUGAGAUACGGCCCAGACUCCUACGGGAGGCAGCAGUGGGGAGUAUUGCACAAUGGGCGGAAGCCUGAUGCAGCAACGCCGCGUGCGGGAUGACGGCCUUCGGGUUGUAAACCGCUUUCGCCUGUGACGAAGCGUGAGUGACGGUAAUGGGUAAAGAAGCACCGGCUAACUACGUG